RNAcentral lists this small nucleolar RNA (107 nucleotides) under Orbilia oligospora ATCC 24927. Its description in RNAcentral is "Arthrobotrys oligospora ATCC 24927 A. fumigatus snoRNA Afu_514". It matches the Rfam family "A. fumigatus snoRNA Afu_514". Lineage: Eukaryota; Fungi; Ascomycota; Orbiliomycetes; Orbiliales; Orbiliaceae. The record is from Rfam by way of RNAcentral.
CCGUAUGAUGAUAUAAUUUGCGAUUGAGAAGCCUUGCUCGUGGACAAACGCCUAGUCCAUACAACGACAGGCUCUCUCUGAUAUUCAAUUUCUUACAUAUACUGACA